RNAcentral lists this ribosomal RNA (163 nucleotides) under Cranichis ciliata. Its description in RNAcentral is "5.8S ribosomal RNA". It matches the Rfam family "5.8S ribosomal RNA". From Rfam's summary of the family: 5.8S ribosomal RNA (5.8S rRNA) is a component of the large subunit of the eukaryotic ribosome. It is transcribed by RNA polymerase I as part of the 45S precursor that also contains 18S and 28S rRNA. RNAcentral also lists the same sequence under 1 other name. Lineage: Eukaryota; Viridiplantae; Streptophyta; Magnoliopsida; Asparagales; Orchidaceae. The record is from RNAcentral.
GUAUGACUCUCGGCAAUGGAUAUCUUGGCUCUUGCAUCGAUGAAGAGCGCAGCGAAAUGCGAUACGUGGUGUGAAUUGCAGAAUCCCGUGAACCAUCGAGUUUUUGAACGCAAGUUGCGCCCGAGGCCAAUUGGUUGAGGGCACGUCCGCCUGGGCGUCAAGC